CCUACGGGAGGCAGCAGUGAGGAAUAUUGCCCAAUGGGGGCAACCCUGAUGCAGCAACGCCGCGUGAACGAUGAAGGCCUUCGGGUUGUAAAGUUCUUUUCUGAGGGACGAUAAUGACGGUACCUCAGGAAUAAGUCCCGGCUAACUACGUGCCAGCAGCCGCGGUAAU
RNAcentral lists this ribosomal RNA (169 nucleotides) under uncultured bacterium. Its description in RNAcentral is "partial 16S ribosomal RNA". It matches the Rfam family "Bacterial small subunit ribosomal RNA", at positions 338 to 524 of the family's 1533-position model. The record is from RNAcentral.